GAUGAAGAACGUAGCGAAAUGCGAUAAGUAGUGUGAAUUGCAGAAUUCAGUGAAUCAUCGAAUCUUUGAACGCACAUUGCGACCCUUGGUAUUCCAUGGGGCAUGCCUGUUCGAGCGUCAUUUGUACCUUCAAGCUCUGCUUGGUGUUGGGUGUUUGUCUCGCCUCUGCGUGUAGACUCGCCUUAAAACAAUUGGCAGCCGGCGUAUUGAUUUCGGAGCGCAGUACAUCUCGCGCUUUGCACUCAUAACGACGACGUCCAAAAGUACAUUUUUACACUCUUGACCUCGGAUCAGGUAGGGAUACCCGCUGAACUUAAGCAUAUCAAUAAGCGGAGGA
This 337-nucleotide unclassified non-coding RNA is filed under the name soil metagenome. Its description in RNAcentral is "partial contains 5.8S ribosomal RNA, internal transcribed spacer 2, and large subunit ribosomal RNA". The stretch from base 1 to 120 matches the Rfam family "5.8S ribosomal RNA", at positions 35 to 154 of the family's 154-position model. The record is from RNAcentral.